This 1511-nucleotide ribosomal RNA is filed under the name uncultured Bordetella sp. Its description in RNAcentral is "partial 16S-23S ribosomal RNA intergenic spacer". It matches the Rfam family "Bacterial small subunit ribosomal RNA". The record is from RNAcentral. Lineage: Bacteria; Pseudomonadati; Pseudomonadota; Betaproteobacteria; Burkholderiales; Alcaligenaceae.
GAGUUUGAUCCUGGCUCAGAUUGAACGCUGGCGGGAUGCUUUACACAUGCAAGUCGAACGGCAGCACGACUCCCGGUCUGGUGGCGAGUGCGACAAGAGAGUAAUGUAUCGGAACGUGCCGUAUAGCGGGGGAUAACUACGCGAAAGCGCCAUACCGCAUACCGCCCUUCGGGGAAAGCGGGGACCUUCGGGCCUCGCACUAUUAGAGCGGCCGAUAUCGGAUUAGCUAGUUGGUGGGGUAACGGCUCACCAAGGCGACGAUCCGUAGCUGGUUUGAGACGACCAGCCACAUUCGGGACUGAGACACGGCUCAGACUACGGGAGGCAGCAGUGGGGAAUUUUGGACAAUGGGGAAACUCCCUGAUCCAGCCAUCUCAUGUGUGUGAUGAAGGCCUGGGUUGUAGCACUUUUGGCAGGAAAGAAACGGCACGGGAUAAUACCCCGUGCAACUGACGGUACCUGCAGAAUAAGCACCGGCUAACUACGUGCCAGCAGCCGCGGUAAUACGUAGGGUGCAAGCGUUAAUCGGAAUUACUGGGCGUAAAGCGUGCGCAGGCGGUUCAGAAAGAAAGAUGUGAAAUCCCGUUUCUUAACUUUGGAACUGCAUUUUUAACUACCGAGCUUAGAGUGUGUCAGAGGGAGGUGGAAUUCCGCGUGUAGCAGUGAAAUGCGUAGAUAUGCGGAGGAACACCGAUGGCGAAGGCAGCUCCUGGGAUAACACUGACGCUCAUGCACGAAAGCGUGGGGAGCAAAACAGGAUUAGAUACCCUGGUAGUCCACGCCCCAAACGAUGUCAACUAGCUGUUGGGGCCUUCGGGCCUUGGUAGCGCAGCUGUGUUGACCGCCUGGGGAGUACGGUCGCAAGAUUAAAAACUCAAAGGAAUUGACGGGGACCCGCACAAGCGGUGGAUGAUGUGGAUUAAUUCGAUGCAACGCGAAAAACCUUACCUACCCUGAUGAUGUCUGGAAUCCCGAAGAGACUUGGGAAAGUCGCAAGAGAACCGGAACACAGGUGCUAUGAAGGGCUGUCGUCAGCUCGUGUCGAGAUGUUGGGUUAAGUCCCGCAACGAGCGCAACCCUUGCCAUUAGUUGCUACGAAAGGGCACUCUAUCGAGACUGCCGGUGACAAACCGGAGCGCGGAUGAACAAGUCCUCAUGGCCUUUAUGGGUAGGGCUUCACACGUCAUACAAUGGUCGGGACAGAGGGCUGCCAACCCGCAGGGGGAGCCAAUCCCAGAAACCCGAUCGUAACCGAUCGCAGUCUGCAAGUCGACUGCGUGAAGUCGGAAUCGCUAGUAAUCGCGGAUCAGCAUGUCGCGGUGAAUACGUUCCCGGGUCUUGCACACAACGCCCAGCCAUUACGGGGAGUGGGUUUACCAGAAGUAGUUAGCCUAACUGUAAGGAGGGCGAUUACCACGGUAGGAUUCAUGACUGGGGUGAAGUCGUAACAGUAGCUUCUGAAGAUACCUUAUUCUGUGUGGUUGGGCCACGUAACUGAACGAAGCAUGAUU